GGGGCUGUAGCUCAAUGGUAGAGCACCUGCCUUGCACAUGUGAGGCACUAGGUUCAAUCCUCAGCACCA
This 69-nucleotide transfer RNA is filed under the name Ictidomys tridecemlineatus (thirteen-lined ground squirrel). RNAcentral describes it as "Spermophilus tridecemlineatus (thirteen-lined ground squirrel) tRNA". It matches the Rfam family "tRNA". Rfam says of the family: Transfer RNA (tRNA) molecules are approximately 80 nucleotides in length. The record is from Rfam by way of RNAcentral. Lineage: Eukaryota; Metazoa; Chordata; Mammalia; Rodentia; Sciuridae.